Small nucleolar RNA from Ipomoea nil (Japanese morning glory), 81 nucleotides. The record is from Rfam. Lineage: Eukaryota; Viridiplantae; Streptophyta; Magnoliopsida; Solanales; Convolvulaceae.
CAGAGUGAUUCAAUACAGUGGCAGUGGAACCUGACUGUGCUGAAAAUGAAGUGGCCAAAGCUCUAGCAGUGGUUUCUGGAA